This 390-nucleotide ribosomal RNA is filed under the name uncultured bacterium. RNAcentral describes it as "bacterial SSU rRNA". It matches the Rfam family "Bacterial small subunit ribosomal RNA", at positions 28 to 412 of the family's 1533-position model. The record is from RNAcentral.
GAUGAACGCUAGCGGCAGGCUUAAUACAUGCAAGUCGUGGGGCAGCAUGAGUGUAGCAAUACAUUUGAUGGCGACCGGCAAACGGGUGCGGAACACGUACACAACCUUCCUUCAAGUGGGGAAUAGCCCAGGGAAACUUGGAUUAAUACCCCGUAACAUUAUGGAGUGGCAUCACUUUAUAAUUAUAGCUCCGGCGCUUGAUGAUGGGUGUGCGCCUGAUAGGUAGUUGGCGGGGUAACGGCCCACCAAGCCUUCGAUCAGUAACUGGUGUGAGAGCACGACCAGUCACACGGGCACUGAGACACGGGCCCGACUCCUACGGGAGGCAGCAGUAAGGAAUAUUGGUCAAUGGACGCAAGUCUGAACCAGCCAUGCCGCGUGGAGGAUGAA